RNAcentral lists this ribosomal RNA (774 nucleotides) under uncultured Neocallimastigales. RNAcentral's name for it is "partial large subunit ribosomal RNA". It matches the Rfam family "Eukaryotic large subunit ribosomal RNA", at positions 26 to 631 of the family's 3401-position model. Lineage: Eukaryota; Fungi; Neocallimastigomycota; Neocallimastigomycetes; Neocallimastigales. The record is from RNAcentral.
CGCAUCUGUGCAUGCAGCAUAUCAAUAAGCGGAGGAAAAGAAACUAACAAGGAUUCCCUUAGUAACGGCGAGUGAAGCGGGAAGAGCUCAAAUUUGAAAUCUUCAAGGUUUUACCUUGACGAAUUGUAGUCUAAAGAAGUGUUUUCUGUUGAAGUUUUGGUAAAAGUUCUUUGGAAUAGGACAUCAUAGAGGGUGAGAAUCCCGUAUUUGACCAUUAUUUUCAGCUGUGUGAUACACUUUCAAAGAGUCGGAUUGUUUGGGAAUGCAGUCCAAAAUGGGUGGUAAAUUUCAUCUAAAGCUAAAUAUUGGCGAGAGACCGAUAGCGAACAAGUACCGUGAGGGAAAGAUGAAAAGAACUUUGAAAAGAGAGUUAAACAGUACAUGAAAUUGUCAAAAGGGAAGCGUUUGACACCAGUGUUGUUUUCUCGAAAAUCAAUUAAAAAGAGUUGGAUUUUGUUGUGUAUUGACCUUAACAGCUUGCAUUCAAUCUUUCUUAGCUUUUUUUAAUGCACUUUUCGUUUAACAAGUCAACAUCAGUUUCUUUUGUUGUAAAAGGGUCAUUGGAAGGUGGCUUUCUUUCGGAGAAAGUGUUUAUAGCCUUUGACUCCUGCAAUCGGAGAGACUGAGGUCUGCAGCGUAGAUCCCUCGGGGUUAGAUACAUUUGUGCUAAGUUAUAGCUUUUUAUAGACAACUUGUUGACUAUGAUUAGUCUUGUAGCUUACUCGCUUAUGCUAUUUUACCUACGCUUAGGAUGUUGACGCGCGUGUGUGCGUG